AGGGACCAAACCCCGUGGACCUCCCUCGUUUGGAAAGAAGCCCAGCCCACAAAAAAACGUGCAUUCGGUUAACCCCCGUAUGGACCGUAUCCCGGUAUUUCCUCUUCGUUCCAGACCGAGAACCACGCCCGGUCCCUGCGGGGUGGAAAAUAUCUCACGCAAAGGAGCUGAGGCAUCACAAAUGAAGGGCACGAGGCGGCGGCGGUGGCGGCGACGGCUCUCCGGCGUUGAUCUACCCUGCGUCCGUGUUCUUAUAGGUCUGCUUCUUUCUCCCUAGGCUAUUGAAUCUCGCAAUACGCUGGGUGGUCCUUGCAGCACAGUUGGAGCUUUCCGUUCGCACUGUUAGCUCCGUCCGAUGAGGUCGCUCUGUUGGCCUCCAACGAGGGAGCUUUCUAUUCCCUUGCAGAGCAGCAGGUGAUGUCACUCCGUCCUAUUCAUUGCCGUGUGACCUGAUUGCCUCUCCUCUCCUGGCUGCCUGGGCGAGAUGGCUAGAUGGCGAAAUCUUUGUCCUCUUCUCACCAUGUUUAUCUCUGCCUCUGCGCUCUGUCUGCUUUAUCGUCGCCGCCGCGAGAAGCCCUUCCAUGUGCAUGUCGUCAAGCAGCAAAAAACAUUAAUGACGAGCAAGAUUGAGGACUGCUACUAAAAUUCAUCAGGUCACCGUAUCUAAAAUUUUGAAUAUGAUAUUGAUUAGAUUAAUAGGCAUAUCUGAAUACCGCCAUAACAUCCAUCCAAAGUUGCACUAGUAGCUCCCUGUGUUAUAUAUUUUAACAUUUGGUUUUCUUCCUUAAACGACCUGAAUCAAUGCCAUCUACCUAUCAAUUUAUAAAAACGUCUGAAAGCAUAGCCCUUCCCUUUUUAUUCCUUUCAUUAAUCACAAAUCUGUAUAUGGUGUAGUAGUAUUCUUUCUUUUUAAUAGUAAAUCUAACUUUACAGUGAUUUAAGGUCUCUUCUCACUUGAUUUUCUGCCCCAUCCAAGAAUACCAAGUGUACUUGUUCCACGGACACUAUGUAGAAGUAGAAUUUGUGUUGCAUUUUUAUUCAAACCAUUGUCCUCUCAUUUAACAUAUAAAGGCUCUAGGGCUUUCUACCACAUGAAAACAAUUUUAGCUAGGUGUGCUAUUGUAUAUGCAUUUUGUUGUAUUAAGAGAAUAAUUUACAGAUUAGCUUUGGCUUGAACUCUUUUCUGUUCUGACUAUAGCAUUGUUGGCACCCAAAUGAGGUUCAAUCGAAUAAUUUACAGUACCAUUUUUUCCCAUUGUAUUUAGUUACUACUUCAAGGCCAACUGUAUUUUAGUUAUAGUGUUUUCAAGAUUGUAGAAAUUUGUAGCUGAAACUAUCCACAGCAUACUAUGAAUUGACAUCAUUUCUGAAAACAAUACUGAUUAGGAUCUUUCACUUCCAUAAUGCUCUGCAGGAGUGGCCCCUCUGGAGUUGUAUGUGGAGUUGUAAACUCUCUUUUAUCCUAGAAGAGUUUCUAAGGCGCGGUAUAAGUCCAUGAUCAUAGACUAAGAGGAUUUGACUCUAAUUACUAUCCGUUUUAUUUAUGUAGUCCUAUGAGAACAUAGAGUAUUUGCACAUUGCUUUAUUAGUUUAUUAAAGUUAAAGAUUGUAUGUGAUGAGUAUGUAUCAACUCUUGUUGGAAGUGUCUUGCAAUUUCCAACCAUAUAUUGUGUGUGUAUAUAUAUAUUGUGUAUAUACAAUGGAAGCUUGAAAAUUGUGUGAACUUGAGUUCCCUGUCUAACCGAAUGCAUCAGAUGAGGCAGGGAAUUAAGUCGGUAUGGAAAUUAUCCACCGAGAGGAUAGAGUGUGCAGUCCGGGAUCCACUUGAACCCCGAGCGGAAAAAAUCAGCCUGGGGAUUAAAACCCGAACAACCGAACAUAGCCUUAAUGUGUUUGACAGUGAGAAAGGUGGGGUUUUUAGUUUACAAAUAAUUAUCAUAAACAAAUACAGG
RNAcentral lists this long non-coding RNA (1952 nucleotides) under Zea mays. RNAcentral's name for it is "long non-coding RNA (ZMAY_LNC005204)". The record is from RNAcentral. Lineage: Eukaryota; Viridiplantae; Streptophyta; Magnoliopsida; Poales; Poaceae.